This 301-nucleotide ribosomal RNA is filed under the name uncultured bacterium. RNAcentral's name for it is "partial 16S ribosomal RNA". It matches the Rfam family "Bacterial small subunit ribosomal RNA", at positions 509 to 807 of the family's 1533-position model. The record is from RNAcentral.
CAGCAGCCGCGGGAAUACGAAGGGUGCAAGCGUUAAUCGGAAUUACUGGGCGUAAAGCGUGCGUAGGUGGUGGUUUAAGUCCGUUGUGAAAGCCCUGGGCUCAACCUGGGAAUUGCAGUGGAUACUGGGUCACUAGAGUGUGGUAGAGGAUAGUGGAAUUUCCGGUGUAGCAGUGAAAUGCGUAGAGAUCGGAAGGAACAUCUGUGGCGAAGGCGACUAUCUGGGCCAACACUGACACUGAGGCACGAAAGCGUGGGGAGCAAACAGGAUUAGAUACCCCGGUAGUCCCUGUCUCUUAUAC